CCUACGGGAGGCAGCAGUAGGGAAUAUUGCUCAAUGGGGGAAACCCUGAAGCAGCAACGCCGCGUGGAGGAUGAAGGUUUUAGGAUUGUAAACUCCUUUUGUGAGAGAAGAUAAUGACGGUAUCUCACGAAUAAGCACCGGCUAACUCCGUGCCAGCAGCCGCGGUAAUACGGAGGGUGCAAGCGUUACUCGGAAUCACUGGGCGUAAAGAGUGCGCAGGCGGGCUUGUAAGUCAGAUGUGAAAUCCUGUAGCUUAACUACAGAACUGCAUUUGAAACUAUGAGUCUAGAGUGUGGGAGAGACAGGUGGAAUUUUUGGUGUAAUGGUAAAUGCCGGAGAGAGCAGUGGGGAU
This 352-nucleotide ribosomal RNA is filed under the name uncultured bacterium. Its description in RNAcentral is "partial 16S ribosomal RNA". It matches the Rfam family "Bacterial small subunit ribosomal RNA", at positions 338 to 707 of the family's 1533-position model. The record is from RNAcentral.